UAUAUUUAUUGGACCCGAUACUGAGACGAGCUUAUUAGGAACAGGUAUGCAUUCGCAUGACCAAACAGGUGUCUGUCGCAAAAGACUCUGAAGAUUCCUAAUAAGGAGUGAAAGACUAAUCAAGUUCAGUGAUAGCUGGUUUCCUGCGAAACCUAUUUGGGUAAGGUUGUAAUAUAAAACAACUCAGGAAGCCGGCAUAGCCAGAGUCUUAAAGACUCUGGCUAUGCCGGCUCUCUGCCCCUAGAGCAAGCUCUGGGGAGAGGUUAGUACUUCGGUGCGAAUCGGAGUUGAUUCAAUUUUGCAAAUCAGACACUUGGCGGGAAGGUGGAGUGUCGAAAGAAAAAAAGUUCUAAAGUGUAGCUAAAGUCCCAAAAUUUUAGAUUUUAUUUU
This 390-nucleotide ribosomal RNA is filed under the name Chlamydomonas priscui. RNAcentral's name for it is "Chlamydomonas sp. UWO 241 large subunit ribosomal RNA". It matches the Rfam family "Bacterial large subunit ribosomal RNA", at positions 701 to 1068 of the family's 2925-position model. The record is from RNAcentral. Lineage: Eukaryota; Viridiplantae; Chlorophyta; Chlorophyceae; Chlamydomonadales; Chlamydomonadaceae.